This 375-nucleotide unclassified non-coding RNA is filed under the name soil metagenome. RNAcentral's name for it is "partial contains 5.8S ribosomal RNA, internal transcribed spacer 2, and large subunit ribosomal RNA". The stretch from base 1 to 120 matches the Rfam family "5.8S ribosomal RNA", at positions 35 to 154 of the family's 154-position model. The record is from RNAcentral.
GAUGAAGAACGUAGCGAAAUGCGAUAAGUAAUGUGAAUUGCAGAAUUCAGUGAAUCAUCGAAUCUUUGAACGCACAUUGCGCCGGCCAGUAGUCUGGCGGGCAUGCCUGUUCGAGCGUCAUUUCAACCCUCAAGACCCCUUCGGGGGACUUGGUGUUGGGGACCGGCACAGGGGCCUGCCUGCUUGUCUUGCAGCGCCCUCGCCGCCCCCGAAAUGAAUUGGCGGCCUCGUCGCGGCCUCCCCUGCGUAGUAGCACAAACCUCGCAUCGCGAACGUGACGGCGGCCACUGCCGUAAAACAACCCAAUUUUAUUAGAGUUGACCUCGAAUCGGGUAGGAAUACCCGCUGAACUUAAGCAUAUCAAUAAGCGGAGGA